CGGGGCGUGGCGCAGUUAGGUAGCGCGCAUCGUUCGGGACGAUGAGGUCGGAGGUUCAAAUCCUCUCGCCCCGACCA
RNAcentral lists this transfer RNA (77 nucleotides) under Chloroflexota bacterium. RNAcentral's name for it is "Chloroflexi bacterium (soil metagenome) tRNA-Pro". It matches the Rfam family "tRNA". From Rfam's summary of the family: Transfer RNA (tRNA) molecules are approximately 80 nucleotides in length. Their secondary structure includes four short double-helical elements and three loops (D, anti-codon, and T loops). Further hydrogen bonds mediate the characteristic L-shaped molecular structure. tRNAs have two regions of fundamental functional importance: the anti-codon, which is responsible for specific mRNA codon recognition, and the 3' end, to which the tRNAs corresponding amino acid is attached (by aminoacyl-tRNA synthetases). tRNAs cope with the degeneracy of the genetic code in two manners: having more than one tRNA (with a specific anti-codon) for a particular amino acid; and 'wobble' base-pairing, i.e. permitting non-standard base-pairing at the 3rd anti-codon position. RNAcentral also lists the same sequence under 2 other names. Lineage: Bacteria; Bacillati; Chloroflexota. The record is from RNAcentral.